GACGAACGCUGGCGGCGUGCUUAACACAUGCAAGUCGAACGGAAAGGCCCUGCUUUUGUCGGGUGCUCGAGUGGCGAACGGAUGAGUAACACGUGAGUAACCUGCCCUUGACUUUGGGAUAACUUCAGGAAACUGGGGCUAAUACCGGAUCGGCGCUCCUGCUGCAUGGCGGGGGUUGGAAAGUUUCGGCGGUUGGGGAUGGACUCGCGGCUUAUCAGGAUGUUGGUGGGGAAGUGGCUUACCAAGGCUUUGCCGGGUAGCCGGCCUGAGAGGGUGACCGGCCACAUUGGGACUGAGGUACGGCCCAGACUCCUACGGGGGGCAGGAGUGGGGAAUAUUGCACAAUGGGCGGAAGCCUGAUGCAGCAACGCCGCGUGCGGGAUGACGGCCUUCGGGUUGUAAACCGCUUUCGCCUGUGACGAAGCGUGAGUGACGGUAAUGGGUAAAGAAGCACCGGCUAACUACGUG
Molecule: ribosomal RNA, 468 nt
Filed under: uncultured bacterium
Lineage: Bacteria
Description: partial 16S ribosomal RNA
Rfam family: Bacterial small subunit ribosomal RNA
Source: RNAcentral